GUCAAUGGGUAGCACUUAGCUUUGAAAAGGUUGCUCUGCUUGUCACAGUGCCACAGACAUGUCAGACAUGUCCCUCUUCCUGCAUCUCCUGAGUGAUCCAUUAGACUUAAGACUCCUCAUUAAUGACCCCAAAACACAUCACUGCUAUAACAAGACAGCGCACAACACGAAAGGGACAGCAAAUGAAUAAAAGUGACUCAAAAUAUAUAUUGCAGUGUUUAAAAAAAAAAAAAAAAAAGCUCAGAUAUUUUUGCACCCAUUAAAAAAAAAAAAAAAAAAAUAGCAAUCAAUGUGACAAGUUGAAAUAAGAAGUUAAUGUGAAACAGGUGAGGCAAUCAUCUAAUGAUAGUAUACAAGGAGUCUCCAAAAAAGUCUUUCAAGAGCAUGGAUGGGUCGAGGCUCGCCAAUCUGCCAACAGAUGCGUCAGCAAAUAAUCCAACACUGUGAGAACUACAUUCCCCAAAGACAAAUCGAUAGGAUUUUGGGGAUUUAACCUUUUACAGUGGACAAUAUAAUUAAAAGAUUCAAUGAAUUCAGUCAAAUCUCGGUGCAUAAAGGGCAAGGCAGAAAACCACUUCUGAAUGCGCGUGAUCUCCGAUCCCUCAGACGUCACUGACUUAAAAACCGUCAUGAGUCUGUAAUGGAUAUCCUGACGUGGGCUCAGGAAUACUUUGGUAAACCUUUUUGUUAGUCGACACCAUUCGCCGUUGCAUCCACAGGUGCAGUUAAAGCUUUACCAUGCAAAGCAGAAGCCACACAUCAACACUGUCCAGAAUCUCCGCCGACUUCUCUGGGCUCAGUCUCAUCUGAGAUGGACAGAAGUACAGUGGAAUCAUGUUUUGUGGUCCGAUGAGUCGACAUUUCAAAUAAUUUUUGGACAAAACAGCUGUCGUGUUCUCGGGGUCACUACAUUCACUAAUUACAUAAGACAUAAGAGAGUGUAAAUGAAAUAAAUAAUUGUUUUUUAUGAAUAUCUGUAAAAACUCUUUUUUCAUGACCUUCAAAUAAGUCAUUUACACACCGGUCAAAAGUUUAGACACACUCAUUCUUCAUUUAUUUUUUCCCCACAUUUUAGAAUAAUAAUAAUAAUCAUCAAAACUCUGGAGUAGCACAAAUUAAACUAUGGGAAUUAUGUUUUGAUAUAAAAUCCAAAAUAAAUCAAAAUAAUUUAAUAUUUUAGCAUCCUCGGAGUAGACACCCUUUUUUGCCUAGAAUUUCCAGAAAUGUUUUCUUGGUAUUUUCUCAACCGAAUUCUUGAGGAAUCCCCCUGAGAAUAUUUCGUUCCAAGUCAUCCGUUUAAAAAAAUAAUAAUAAUAACAAAUUGUUAGUUUUCUAAUGAAAGAAAUGAAUAUGUUCUAUUUUUGUCUACAAUAUAGAUCUCAAACAUUUAAUCAUACACCUUCAGAUCAAAAGAUUUUUAACAUCAUGAGAAACAUUUCAGUCAAGUGUCUCCAAACUUUUGACGGGUAGUGUAUAUAAAUGCAUGUGAUGAAUUAGCUGUAUUAGAGGAUCUUCUACAGAAUCCUUGAUGGCUCAUGUUUAGAAAACUAGAGUCACUGAACUAUGGCCAAUUUUAUUUUCAUACAUUUAUAAGCAAUACUACAUUAUUUUUCAAAUGCUCUGUUCAAUCAGCUAAAAUUCUUUGCUGGUCCUGGAUCCACACCAUGGUCUGCAAGUUGAGGACUGGUUUGGGAACUGGGGACUGGUUUGGGAAACACUGGCUAAGCCAGUAACUUCAAAACCAAGGUCUAAGUCUCCCAAAAGAAGGUCCUACAGGCGCCCUUGUCUUCACUCCUUGAACUGACAAAUACACAAACAGUUUCUGAUAUUGAACAGCUCACAAGACAGGCUUUUAGACCUGCUGGAAUGACAGUUGGGGGAAUAGGCUGUGCAGGAACAAGGCGGGGGUUGAGAGCAGCCAUGCAACUUUAAAGAGACAACACAAUGCAAGAACAGUUUGUUUUCUGAAAGACGUGGUGAGACAGACAGAUGAAGGAGGAGCAGAGGAGGCAGAACAAGAGAAAGACAUUUCAUUUUCUUUUUACAUCUCCAAGCAAAGCUACAACUCUACAUUUUAGCAUUUUACUCCAGCUGUGAUCUAUAUCUGUCAAUAAAACCUUACAGCUCUUCAGUAUCUUUAUUAAAAUGCUGGGAAACGUCUUAUUUCCGUGUAUGAAAUCAAAUGCACAAAUUUCGCCUUAUGUUGAUUUAUGAUAUAUCAAGCACAGACUUCUACAGAACAAAGUGCAUCAAAUAAAAAGAGGCAGUUGUUUGCUGUGCAGCGGGUGCCGUCCCAGUCUUGCAGGAGGUCUGGCUUAGCUGCUUCUGCAUGCUACAAAGAGUCCAAGCACUCCAACAACAACAGAAAAAGCAAUAAAAAGCAUUCAUCAUGACGGCUCUGUGAGUGCGGCAAUUCAUUCCGAGGGCCAGCGAAAAGAAAUAUCAUCAAUAUUUGACAUUGUUUUAUGGAGAAGCUACUUGAUUUCAUCCCACAACGCCAGAAAUGACCACGAAUGAUCAAUUACCAUGGCUGAGAUCUGUGUGCAUUUCUGUACACAGCUUACGUGGCUACUGUUGCCGGACACUGCUUUUUCUGCAAAUGUUUAUUCCGGCCCUUGCCAGUUGGCCAUCCACAAUAAACACAGCAUGGAAGGUGUGCAGAUUGGAGAACUGUGGGAAAGCCGGGAAUGGAGCAGUGCUGGAUUUAGGAUUUGGUAGCUGCGGUGCCUCUGCGAGUCUACAGAGGUUUGAUUUGUGGAUCCAGAAGACUAAUGAAGUGGUUAGCGUGCCACCCUGCUUCUUUUGCAAGAUCAAUUCGGCGGCGUAUGGCGGCGGCAUGUUUUAUGAAUGAUGGAGACCUCCUCAGGCCAUCCAUAUACCUGAGCCUCCAUGUCACCGUGGGGCCCCGUGGCACCGGGAGGCAGGGAUCCGGCCAUCCUUCUUGUUUGCAGCACAAUACAUUACGGCAAGCAGGCGACAUCAGCGCUAACUGCUGAGAAAGACAGAAAAUAGUUAAUGACUUUGUGAUCUCCUGCUGGAAGCAUUCAAAAGGAU
Long non-coding RNA from Ictalurus punctatus (channel catfish), 3054 nucleotides. NCBI's taxonomy places the organism in Eukaryota, Metazoa, Chordata, Actinopteri, Siluriformes, Ictaluridae. The record is from Ensembl.